AGUGAACGCUGGCGGUAGGCCUAACACAUGCAAGUCGAACGGCAGCACAGUAAGAGCUUGCUCUUACGGGUGGCGAGUGGCGGACGGGUGAGGAAUACAUCGGAAUCUACUUUUUCGUGGGGGAUAACGUAGGGAAACUUACGCUAAUACCGCAUACGACCUACGGGUGAAAGCAGGGGAUCUUCGGACCUUGCGCGAUUGAAUGAGCCGAUGUCGGAUUAGCUAGUUGGCGGGGUAAAGGCCCACCAAGGCGACGAUCCGUAGCUGGUCUGAGAGGAUGAUCAGCCACACUGGAACCGAGACACGGUCCAGACGCCUACGGGAGGCAGCAGUGGGGAAUAUUGGACAAUGGGCGCAAGCCUGAUCCAGCCAUACCGCGUGGGUGAAGAAGGCCUUCGGGUUGUAAAGCCCUUUUGUUGGGAAAGAAAAGCAGCAGGUUAAUACCCCGCUGUUCUGACGGUACCCAAAGAAUAAGCACCGGCUAACUUCGU
Molecule: ribosomal RNA, 491 nt
Filed under: uncultured bacterium
Lineage: Bacteria
Description: partial 16S ribosomal RNA
Rfam family: Bacterial small subunit ribosomal RNA
Source: RNAcentral